Molecule: unclassified non-coding RNA, 9379 nt
Filed under: Orthohepacivirus hominis
Lineage: Riboviria; Orthornavirae; Kitrinoviricota; Flasuviricetes; Amarillovirales; Hepaciviridae
Description: Hepacivirus hominis miscellaneous RNA
Rfam family: Hepatitis C virus internal ribosome entry site (bases 1-337)
Source: RNAcentral
GGCGACACUCCACCAUAGAUCACUCCCCUGUGAGGAACUACUGUCUUCACGCAGAAAGCGUCUAGCCAUGGCGUUAGUAUGAGUGUCGUGCAGCCUCCAGGACCCCCCCUCCCGGGAGAGCCAUAGUGGUCUGCGGAACCGGUGAGUACACCGGAAUUGCCAGGACGACCGGGUCCUUUCUUGGAUCAACCCGCUCAAUGCCUGGAGAUUUGGGCGUGCCCCCGCGAGACUGCUAGCCGAGUAGUGUUGGGUCGCGAAAGGCCUUGUGGUACUGCCUGAUAGGGUGCUUGCGAGUGCCCCGGGAGGUCUCGUAGACCGUGCACCAUGAGCACGAAUCCUAAACCUCAAAGAAAAACCAAACGUAACACCAACCGCCGUCCACAGGACGUCAAGUUCCCGGGCGGUGGUCAGAUCGUUGGUGGAGUUUACCUGUUGCCGCGCAGGGGCCCCAGGUUGGGUGUGCGCGCGCUCAGGAAGACUUCCGAGCGGUCGCAACCUCGUGGAAGGCGACAACCUAUCCCCAAGGCUCGCCGACCCGAGGGCAGGGCCUGGGCUCAGCCCGGGUACCCUUGGCCCCUCUAUGGCAAUGAGGGCAUGGGGUGGGCAGGAUGGCUCCUGUCACCCCGUGGUUCUCGGCCUAGUUGGGGCCCCUCAGACCCCCGGCGUAGGUCGCGUAAUUUGGGUAAGGUCAUCGAUACCCUUACAUGCGGCUUCGCCGACCUCAUGGGGUACAUUCCGCUCGUCGGCGCCCCUCUAGGGGGCGCCGCCAGGGCCCUGGCGCAUGGCGUCCGGGUUCUGGAGGACGGCGUGAACUAUGCAACAGGGAAUUUGCCCGGUUGCUCUUUCUCUAUCUUCCUCUUGGGUUUGCUGUCUUGUUUGACCAUCCCAGCUUCCGCUUAUGAAGUGCGCAACGUGUCCGGGGUGUACCAUGUCACGAACGACUGCUCCAACGCAAGCAUUGUGUAUGAGGCAGCGGACAUGAUCAUGCACGUCCCCGGGUGCGUGCCCUGCGUUCGGGUGGACAACUCCUCCCGUUGCUGGGUAGCGCUCACCCCCACGCUUGCGGCCAGGAACGCUAGCGUCCCUACUACGGCAAUACGACGCCACGUCGAUUUGCUCGUUGGGGCGGCUACUUUCUGUUCCGCUAUGUACGUGGGGGAUCUCUGCGGAUCUGUUUUCCUCGUCGCCCAGCUGUUCACCUUCUCGCCCCGCCGGCAUGAGACGGUACAGGACUGCAAUUGUUCAAUCUAUCCCGGCCACAUAACGGGUCACCGCAUGGCUUGGGAUAUGAUGAUGAACUGGUCACCCACAGCAGCCCUAGUCGUAUCGCAGUUACUCCGGAUCCCACAAGCUAUCGUGGAUAUGGUGGCGGGGGCCCACUGGGGAGUCCUGGCGGGCCUCGCCUACUAUUCCAUGGUGGGGAACUGGGCUAAGGUUUUGAUUGUGAUGCUACUCUUUGCCGGCGUUGACGGGGACACCCACACGACGGGGGGGGUGGCGGGCCGCGACACGCUGCGCUUCACGGGGUUCUUUUCAUUGGGGCCGAAACAAAAGAUCCAGCUUGUAAACACCAACGGCAGCUGGCACAUCAACAGGACUGCCCUGAACUGCAAUGACUCCCUCAACACUGGGUGGCUCGCCGCGCUGUUCUACACACACAGCUUCAACGCGUCUGGAUGCCCAGAGCGGAUGGCCAGCUGCCACCCCAUCGACGAGUUCGCUCAGGGGUGGGGUCCCAUUACUUACGCUGAACAUAGCAGCUCGGACCAGAGGCCCUACUGUUGGCACUACGCACCUCAGCCGUGCGGUAUUGUACCCGCGUCGGAGGUGUGUGGUCCAGUGUAUUGCUUCACCCCAAGCCCUGUUGUGGUGGGGACAACCGAUCGUCACGGCGUCCCUACGUAUAGCUGGGGGGAGAAUGGGACGGACGUGCUGCUUCUCAACAACACGCGGCCGCCGCAAGGCAACUGGUUCGGCUGUACAUGGAUGAACGGCACUGGGUUCACCAAGACGUGCGGGGGCCCCCCGUGUAACAUCGGGGGGGUCGGCAACAACACCCUGACCUGCCCCACGGACUGCUUCCGGAAGCACCCCGAGGCCACUUACACCAAAUGCGGCUCGGGGCCUUGGUUGACACCUAGGUGCAUGGUUGACUACCCAUACAGGCUCUGGCACUACCCCUGCACUGUCAACUUCACCAUCUUUAAGGUUAGGAUGUAUGUGGGGGGCGUGGAACACAGGCUCAGCGCCGCAUGCAAUUGGACUCGAGGAGAGCGUUGUGACCUGGAGGACAGGGAUAGAUCAGAGCUUAGCCCGCUGCUGCUGUCCACAACAGAGUGGCAGGUGCUGCCCUGUUCCUUCACCACCCUACCGGCUCUGUCCACUGGUUUGAUCCAUCUCCACCAGAACAUCGUGGACGUGCAAUACUUGUACGGUAUAGGGUCGGUGGUUGUCUCCUUUGCAAUCAAAUGGGAGUAUGUCGUGUUGCUCUUCCUUCUCCUGGCAGACGCGCGCGUCUGUGCCUGCUUGUGGAUGAUGCUGCUGAUAGCCCAAGCUGAGGCCGCCUUAGAGAACCUGGUGGUCCUCAAUGCAGCGUCCGUGGCCGGAGCACAUGGCAUUCUCUCCUUCCUUGUGUUUUUCUGUGCUGCCUGGUACAUCAAGGGCAGGCUGGUCCCUGGAGCGGCAUAUGCUAUCUAUGGCGUAUGGCCGCUACUCCUGCUCCUGCUGGCGCUACCACCACGGGCAUACGCCUUGGACCGGGAGAUGGCUGCAUCGUGCGGAGGCGCGGUUUUCGUAGGUCUGGUACUCUUGACCUUGUCACCACACUAUAAAGAGUUCCUCGCCAGGCUUAUAUGGUGGUUGCAAUACUACAUCACCAGAGCCGAGGCGCUACUGCAAGUGUGGAUCCCCCCCCUCAAUGUUCGGGGGGGCCGCGACGCCAUCAUCCUCCUCACGUGUGUGGUCCACCCAGAGCUAAUUUUUGACAUCACCAAGCUCUUGCUCGCCAUGCUCGGCCCGCCCAUGGUGCUCCAGGCUGUCAUAACCAAGGUGCCGUACUUUGUGCGCGCUCAAGGGCUCAUUCGUGCAUGCAUGUUGGUGCGGAAAGUCGCUGGGGGCCAUUACGUCCAAAUGGCUCUCAUGAAGCUGGCCGGGUUGACAAGCACGUACGUUUAUGACCAUCUUACUCCGUUGCAGGACUGGGCCCACGGCGGCCUACGAGACCUCGCGGUGGCAGUUGAGCCCGUUGUUUUUUCUGACAUGGAGACCAAGAUCAUCACCUGGGGGGCGGACACUGCGGCGUGUGGUGACAUCAUCUCGGGGUUACCUGUCUCCGCCCGAAGGGGGAGGGAGAUACUCCUGGGACCGGCCGAUAGUCUUAAAGAGCAGGGAUGGCGACUCCUUGCACCCAUCACGGCUUACUCCCAACAGACGCGGGGCCUACUUGGUUGCAUCAUCACUAGCCUCACAGGCCGGGACAAGAACCAGGUCGAGGGGGAGGUUCAAGUGGUCUCCACCGCAACACAAUCUUUCCUGGCGACCUGUGUCAACGGCGUGUGUUGGACUGUGUAUCAUGGCGCCGGCUCAAAGACCCUAGCCGGCCCAAAAGGUCCAGUCACCCAAAUGUACACCAAUGUAGACCAGGACCUCGUCGGCUGGCCCGCGCCCCCCGGGGCGCGUUCCUUGACACCAUGCACCUGUGGCAGCUCGGACCUUUACUUGGUCACGAGACAUGCCGAUGUCAUCCCGGUGCGCCGGCGGGGCGACAGCAGGGGAAGCCUACUCUCCCCCAGGCCCGUCUCCUACUUGAAGGGCUCUUCGGGUGGUCCAUUGCUCUGCCCCUCGGGGCACGCUGUGGGCAUCUUCCGGGCUGCUGUGUGCACCCGGGGGGUCGCGAAGGCGGUGGACUUUGUGCCCGUUGAGUCUAUGGAAACUACUAUGCGGUCUCCGGUCUUCACGGACAAUUCAUCUCCCCCGGCCGUACCGGAGACAUUCCAGGUGGCCCAUCUACACGCUCCCACCGGUAGCGGCAAGAGCACUAAGGUGCCGGCUGCAUAUGCAGCUCAAGGGUACAAGGUACUCGUCCUGAACCCGUCCGUUGCCGCCACCCUGGGCUUUGGGGCGUACAUGUCCAAGGCACAUGGUACCGACCCCAACAUCAGAACUGGGGUAAGGACCAUCACCACGGGCGCUCCCAUUACGUACUCCACCUAUGGCAAGUUCCUCGCCGAUGGUGGUUGUUCUGGGGGCGCCUAUGACAUUAUAAUAUGUGAUGAGUGCCACUCAACUGACUCGACUACCAUCCUGGGCAUUGGCACAGUCCUGGACCAAGCGGAGACGGCUGGAGCACGGCUCGUCGUGCUCGCCACCGCUACGCCUCCGGGAUCGGUCACCGUGCCGCAUCCCAACAUCGAGGAGGUGGCCCUGUCCAACAUUGGAGAGAUCCCCUUCUAUGGCAAAGCCAUCCCCAUUGAAACCAUCAAGGGGGGAAGACACCUCAUUUUCUGCCAUUCCAAGAAGAAGUGUGACGAGCUCGCUGCAAAGCUGUCGGGCCUCGGACUCAACGCUGUAGCGUAUUACCGGGGCCUUGACGUGUCCGUCAUACCGACCAGCGGAGACGUCGUUGUCGUAGCAACAGACGCUCUAAUGACGGGCUUUACCGGCGACUUUGACUCAGUGAUCGACUGUAACACAUGUGUCACCCAAACAGUCGAUUUCAGCUUGGACCCUACCUUCACCAUUGAGACGACGACCGUGCCCCAAGACGCAGUGUCGCGCUCGCAACGGCGAGGCAGGACUGGUAGGGGCAGGAGAGGCAUCUACAGGUUUGUGACUCCGGGAGAGCGGCCCUCGGGCAUGUUCGAUUCCUCGGUCCUGUGUGAGUGCUAUGACGCGGGCUGUGCUUGGUAUGAGCUCACGCCCGCCGAGACUUCGGUUAGGUUGCGGGCUUACCUAAACACACCAGGGUUGCCCGUCUGCCAAGACCACCUGGAGUUCUGGGAGAGCGUCUUCACAGGCCUCACCCACAUAGACGCCCACUUCUUGUCCCAGACCAAACAAGCGGGAGAGAACUUCCCCUACCUGACAGCGUACCAGGCCACAGUGUGUGCCAGGGCUCAGGCUCCACCUCCAUCGUGGGAUCAAAUGUGGAAGUGUCUCAUACGGCUAAAGCCUACGCUGCACGGGCCAACACCCCUGCUGUAUAGGCUAGGAGCCGUCCAAAACGAGGUCGUCCUUACACACCCCAUAACCAAAUACAUCAUGGCAUGCAUGUCGGCUGACCUAGAGGUCGUCACGAGCACCUGGGUGCUAGUGGGCGGAGUCCUCGCAGCCCUGGCUGCGUAUUGCCUGACAACGGGCAGCGUGGUCAUUGUGGGCAGGAUUAUCUUGUCCGGGAGGCCGGCUAUCAUUCCCGACAGGGAAGUCCUUUACCAGGAGUUCGAUGAGAUGGAAGAGUGCGCCUCACACCUUCCUUACAUCGAACAGGGAAUGCAGCUCGCCGAACAAUUCAAACAGAAGGCGCUCGGGUUGCUGCAGACAGCCACUAAGCAAGCGGAGGCUGCUGUUCCCGUGGUGGAAUCCAAGUGGCAAGCCCUUGAGGCUUUUUGGGCGAAGCACAUGUGGAACUUCAUCAGCGGGAUACAGUACUUAGCAGGCUUGUCCACUCUGCCUGGGAACCUCGCAAUAGCAUCACUGAUGGCAUUCACAGCCUCCAUCACCAGCCCGCUCACCACCCAACAUACCCUCCUGUUUAACAUCUUGGGGGGAUGGGUGGCUGCCCAACUCGCUCCCCCCAGCGCCGCCUCAGCUUUCGUAGGCGCCGGCAUCGCCGGUGCGGCCGUUGGCAGCAUAGGCCUUGGGAAGGUGCUUGUGGACAUCCUGGCGGGCUAUGGAGCAGGAGUGGCUGGCGCGCUCGUGGCCUUUAAAGUCAUGAGCGGCGAGAUGCCCUCCACCGAGGACCUGGUCAACUUACUCCCUGCCAUCCUCUCUCCUGGCGCCCUGGUCGUCGGGGUCGUGUGCGCAGCAAUACUGCGUCGGCAUGUGGGCCCUGGGGAGGGGGCUGUGCAGUGGAUGAACCGGCUGAUAGCGUUCGCUUCGCGGGGUAACCACGUGUCCCCCACGCACUAUGUGCCUGAGAGCGACGCCGCAGCGCGUGUCACUCAGAUCCUCUCCAGCCUUACCAUCACCCAGCUGUUGAAGAGGCUCCACCAGUGGAUUAACGAGGACUGCUCCACGCCAUGCUCCGGUUCGUGGCUAAGGGAUGUUUGGGACUGGAUAUGCACGGUGUUGACUGACUUCAAGACCUGGCUCCAGUCCAAGCUCCUGCCACGGUUACCGGGAAUCCCUUUUUACUCAUGCCAGCGUGGGUACAAGGGAGUAUGGCGGGGAGACGGCAUCAUGCAAACCACCUGCCCAUGUGGAGCACAGAUCACUGGACAUGUCAAAAACGGUUCCAUGAGGAUCGUUGGGCCUAAAACCUGCAGCAACACGUGGCACGGAACAUUCCCCAUCAACGCAUACACCACGGGCCCCUGCACACCCUCCCCGGCGCCAAACUAUUCUAGGGCGCUGUGGCGGGUGGCUGCUGAGGAGUAUGUGGAGGUUACGCGGGUGGGGGAUUUCCACUACGUGACGGGCAUGACCACUGACAACGUAAAAUGCCCAUGCCAGGUUCCGGCUCCCGAAUUCUUCACGGAGGUGGAUGGGGUGCGGCUGCACAGGUACGCCCCGGCGUGCAAACCCCUCCUACGGGAUGAAGUCACAUUCCAGGUCGGGCUCAACCAAUACGUGGUUGGGUCACAACUCCCAUGCGAGCCCGAACCGGAUGUAGUGGUGGUCACUUCCAUGCUUACCGACCCCUCCCACAUUACAGCAGAGACGGCUAAGCGUAGGCUGGACAGGGGGUCUCCCCCCUCCUUGGCCAGCUCUUCAGCUAGCCAGUUGUCUGCGCCUUCCUUGAAGGCGACAUGCACUACCCGUCACGACUCCCCAGACGCUGACCUCAUUGAGGCCAACCUCCUGUGGCGGCAGGAGAUGGGCGGAAACAUCACCCGCGUGGAGUCUGAAAACAAGGUAGUAAUUCUGGACUCUUUCGACCCGCUUCGAGCGGAGGAGGAUGAGAGGGAAGUAUCCGUCGCGGCGGAGAUUCUGCGGAAAUCCAGGAGAUUCCCCCGAGCGAUGCCCAUAUGGGCACGGCCGGAUUACAACCCCCCACUGCUAGAGUCCUGGAAGGAUCCGGACUACGUCCCUCCGGUGGUGCACGGGUGCCCAUUACCACCUACCAAGGCCCCUCCAAUACCACCUCCACGGAAAAAGAGGACGGUUGUCCUGACAGAGUCCACCGUGUCUUCUGCCUUGGCGGAGCUUGCUACAAAGACCUUCGGCAGCUCCGAAUCGUCGGCCGUCGACAGCGGCACGGCGACCGCCCCUCCUGACCAGCCCCCCGACAACGACGACACAGGAUCCGACGUUGAAUCGUGCUCCUCCAUGCCCCCCCUUGAGGGGGAGCCGGGGGAUCCCGAUCUCAGCGACGGGUCUUGGUCUACCGUGAGCGAGGAGGCUAGUGAGGACGUCGUCUGCUGUUCGAUGUCCUACACGUGGACGGGCGCUCUGAUCACACCAUGCGCCGCGGAAGAAAGCAAGCUGCCCAUCAAUGCGUUGAGCAACUCUUUGCUGCGUCAUCACAACAUGGUGUACGCCACAACCUCCCGCAGCGCAAGCCAGCGGCAGAAGAAGGUCACUUUUGACAGACUGCAAGUCCUGGACGACCACUACCGGGACGUGCUCAAGGAGAUGAAGGCGAAGGCGUCCACAGUUAAGGCUAAACUUCUAUCCGUAGAAGAAGCCUGCAAGCUGACACCCCCACAUUCGGCCAGAUCUAAAUUUGGCUACGGGGCGAAGGACGUCCGGAACCUAUCCAGCAAGGCCGUUAACCACAUCCGCUCCGUGUGGAAGGACUUGCUGGAAGACACUGAAACACCAAUUGAUACUACCAUCAUGGCAAAGAAUGAGGUCUUCUGCGUCCAACCAGAAAAAGGAGGCCGCAAGCCAGCUCGCCUUAUCGUGUUCCCAGACUUGGGGGUGCGCGUAUGCGAGAAGAUGGCUCUUUAUGACGUGGUCUCCACCCUUCCUCAGGCCGUGAUGGGCCCCUCGUACGGAUUUCAGUACUCUCCUGGACAGCGGGUCGAGUUCCUGGUAAAUGCCUGGAAAUCAAAGAAGUGUCCUAUGGGCUUCGCAUAUGACACCCGCUGUUUUGACUCAACGGUCACUGAGAGUGACAUCCGUGUUGAGGAGUCAAUUUACCAAUGUUGUGACUUGGCCCCCGAAGCCAGACAGGCCAUAAAGUCGCUCACAGAGCGGCUUUACAUCGGGGGUCCCCUGACUAAUUCAAAAGGGCAGAACUGCGGUUAUCGCCGAUGCCGCGCAAGCGGCGUGCUGACGACUAGCUGCGGUAAUACCCUUACAUGUUACUUGAAGGCCUCUGCGGCCUGUCGAGCUGCAAAGCUCCAGGACUGCACGAUGCUCGUGUGCGGAGACGACCUCGUCGUUAUCUGUGAAAGCGCGGGAACCCAAGAGGACGCGGCGAGCCUACGAGUCUUCACGGAGGCCAUGACUAGGUACUCUGCCCCCCCCGGGGACCCGCCCCAACCAGAAUACGACCUGGAGCUGAUAACAUCAUGCUCCUCGAAUGUGUCGGUCGCGCACGAUGCAUCCGGCAAGAGAGUAUACUACCUCACCCGUGACCCCACCACCCCCCUUGCGCGGGCUGCGUGGGAGACAGCUAGACACACUCCAGUUAACUCCUGGCUAGGCAACAUCAUCAUGUAUGCGCCCACUUUGUGGGCGAGGAUGAUUCUGAUGACACACUUCUUCUCCAUCCUUCUAGCUCAGGAACAACUUGAAAAAGCCCUAGAUUGUCAGAUCUACGGGGCCUGUUACUCCAUAGAGCCACUUGACCUACCUCAAAUCAUUCAGCGACUCCAUGGUCUUAGCGCAUUUUCACUCCACAGUUACUCCCCAGGUGAGAUCAAUAGGGUGGCUUCAUGCCUCAGGAAACUUGGGGUACCGCCCUUGCGAGCCUGGAGACAUCGGGCCAGAAGUGUCCGCGCUAAGCUACUGUCCCAGGGGGGAAGGGCUGCCACUUGUGGCCGCUACCUCUUCAACUGGGCAGUAAAGACCAAACUUAAACUCACUCCAAUUCCGGCUGCGUCCCAGUUGGACUUGUCCAACUGGUUCGUUGCUGGUUACAGCGGGGGAGACAUAUAUCACAGCCUGUCUCGUGCCCGACCCCGCUGGUUCAUGUGGUGCCUACUCCUACUUUCUGUAGGGGUAGGCAUCUACCUGCUCCCCAACCGAUGAACGGGGAGCUAACCACUCCAGG